Molecule: ribosomal RNA, 481 nt
Filed under: uncultured bacterium
Lineage: Bacteria
Description: partial 16S ribosomal RNA
Rfam family: Bacterial small subunit ribosomal RNA
Source: RNAcentral
GAUGAACGCUGGCGGCGUGCUUAACACAUGCAAGUCGAACGAAGCACUUUAUUUGAUUUCCUUCGGGACUGAUUAUUUUGUGACUGAGUGGCGGACGGGUGAGUAACGCGUGGGUAACCUGCCUUGUACAGGGGGAUAACAGUUGGAAACGGCUGCUAAUACCGCAUAAGCGCACAGCAUCGCAUGAUGCAGUGUGAAAAACUCCGGUGGUAUAAGAUGGACCCGCGUUGGAUUAGCUAGUUGGUGAGGUAACGGCCCUCCAAGGCGACGAUCCAUAGCCGAACUGAGAGGGUGACCGGCCACAUUGGGACUGAGACACGGCCCAAACUCCUACGGGAGGCAGCAGUGGGGAAUAUUGCACAAUGGGCGAAAGCCUGAUGCAGCGACGCCGCGUGAGCGAAGAAGUAUUUCGGUAUGUAAAGCUCUAUCAGCAGGGAAGAUAAUGACGGUACCUGACGAAGAAGCACCGGCUAAAUACGUG